AUGUCAUGGUUUCUAGAAAUGGGCGUGAGCUAUUGGAAUGCCCCAUGUGUUUGGUUCCCAUGUAUCCUCCAAUUCAUCAGUGCUCCAAUGUCCAUGCUAUUUGUUCUGAAUGCAAGCCAAGGGUUCAUAAAUGCUUUGGAGAAGGUUGGCGCCUCUCUAGAGGUUCUGUACAAGUUCCAGAACUUUGGAUGCUUGGGAAUAUAUCCUUAUUAUUGCAAGUUGAAACAUGAAUCAGAGUGUCAAUACAGACCAUAUACUGGCCCACAUGCAGGUUUUAAAUUUUUGUGGAUUUAUGUGAUGGAAUCUUGA
RNAcentral lists this ribosomal RNA (309 nucleotides) under Triticum aestivum (bread wheat). RNAcentral's name for it is "partial small subunit ribosomal RNA". The record is from RNAcentral. Lineage: Eukaryota; Viridiplantae; Streptophyta; Magnoliopsida; Poales; Poaceae.